GACGAACGCUGGCGGCGUGCCUAAUACAUGCAAGUCGAGCGGAUGAAGGAGGAGCUUGCUCCUCCUGAUUCAGCGGCGGACGGGUGAGUAACACGUGGGCAACCUGCCCUGUAGAUUGGGAUAACUCCGGGAAACCGGGGCUAAUACCGAAUAAUCCACCGGACCUCAUGGUCUGGUGUUGAAAGACGGCAUCUCGCUGUCACUACAGGAUGGGCCCGCGGCGCAUUAGCUAGUUGGUGAGGUAACGGCUCACCAGGGCCACGAUGCGUAGCCGACCUGAGAGGGUGAUCGGCCACACUGGGACUGAGACACGGCCCAGACUCCUACGGGAGGCAGCAGUAGGGAAUCUUCCACAAUGGACGAAAGUCUGAUGGAGCAACGCCGCGUGAGUGAAGAAGGUUCUCGGAUCGUAAAACUCUGUUGUGAGGGAAGAACAAGUACCGGAGUAACUGCCGGUACCUUGACGGUACCUCAUUAGAAAGCCACGGCUAACUACGUGCCAGCCGCCGCCGUAA
RNAcentral lists this ribosomal RNA (515 nucleotides) under uncultured bacterium. Its description in RNAcentral is "partial 16S ribosomal RNA". It matches the Rfam family "Bacterial small subunit ribosomal RNA", at positions 28 to 523 of the family's 1533-position model. The record is from RNAcentral.